This is a non-coding RNA of Podarcis lilfordi (Lilford's wall lizard), 1325 nucleotides long. The record is from the annotation of a GenBank genome assembly. Lineage: Eukaryota; Metazoa; Chordata; Lepidosauria; Squamata; Lacertidae.
CCACUUCAAAAUCAGGAGACAAUGUGAGUUUUUGAACAUUGAGGAAUUAUUCAAUAUAUCCCCAAAUGAGGCAGGAUGAUGGUUCUUCUACUCAUAAGUCCCUUAACUUUGUCAGGAUUCCUGGUUCCCCAACAGAGAAAAUGGCUUUUUCAGAGCAUCAGGGGUAGUUCCCCUGUUCACUCUUUUUUCCAUAGUGAAUUCAAUAGUCAAUAUCUGUGAUUGCCUAACAUCAAUCACCACAAGGAAAAUCAAGAAAAAAACAUCAAGGAAAAAAUCUAGGAAAAACAUCUAGAAAAAAAUCUAGAAUAAAUUAUGUAAGGCAGCUGCUGAACACGUGUUUGCAAAUAUUCAACUGCACACAAAGAAGAAAGCACAAGAUACAGCAAAGUACAGGUUAUUAUUUCUUUACUUUCUCUUCCUUAUUAGCUGUUCCCUAUUGUUCAGCUCAGGCCUAAGAAUGAUUAUGUAACAUUUGGGAGAAAAGAUGCAGCCCAGCAACCCAACACCGGAGGCUAAGAUGGAGAAGAUCUCCACAGCUACCAUAUAUUUUCCCUUGGUGCUCAGAUAGGAGGGAAUAAAGGACAGCCAAACACUGCAGAAGACCAACAUGCUGAAAGAGAUAAACUUAGCUUCGUUGAAACUGUCCGGUAAUUUCCUGGCGAGGAAAGCCAUAACAAAACUCACAGAUGCCAGGCAGCUCAUAUAGAUGAGGACACAGUAAAACAUUGCCACACUCCCCUCAUUACAUUCUAGUAUGAUUUCUUCCAUCACAGAGUGCAUGUCCACAUCUGGGUAUGGGGGAGAGGUUGCCAGCCACACAGUACAUAUGCCUACUUGGACUAUGGAGCAGGAAAUGAGAAUGGAGUGGCCUAGUCCUUUCCCCACCCAUUUCCUCAUCCUGGAUUCUGGUUUUGUAGCCAUGAAGGCCAAAACGACAGUGAAGGUUUUUGCCAGGACACAUGAAACAGCGGUUGAGAAGAUGAUACCAAAAGCAGUUUGUUGAAGGAGGCACGUCACCUUCUCAGGUCGGCCAAUGAAGAGCAAUGCACACAGGAAGCAGAGCAGGAGAGAGAUGAGGAGAGCGUAGGUGAGGUUUCGGUUGUUUGCAAUGACAAUGGGCGUGUCAUGGUGUUUUAUAAAUGUACCUAGUACCAGAGCUGUGAUCAAGGAAAGGGAAAGAGAGAAGCAGGCUAAACUGAUGCCCAAAGGUUCUUCAUAAGACAAGAAGCUGAUAUCCUUGGGUAGACAUGCAUCCCGGUUCUUGCUUGGAUAUUCUUUGUCUGGGCAUUUAUUACAGUCAUUCAUAUCUGGGGGGAAAUAAGGAA